This 563-nucleotide long non-coding RNA is filed under the name Homo sapiens (human). Its description in RNAcentral is "HSALNT0358858". Lineage: Eukaryota; Metazoa; Chordata; Mammalia; Primates; Hominidae. The record is from RNAcentral.
CCACAUUCUGCCCUGAUGGAGCUGGGCUUGGUGCCCAGUAAAAGUACAGAGGAUCCUUGUGCCAUGACUGUUUGGCCAGCCCUAGUGCCAGGGGGCUGUCUGGCAGUGCUCAUAGUUCUCUGGAGUGCAGCCAGGAUCUGCCAGGCAGUCUGACUCCAUCCAGAAGCUUCUCAACCAGAUGAAGAAGUGAUGUCUGUGAUCUGCUUUGGGGAGGGACUUCUCAAGUAACUGUGACUUAAAAUAUACCCUGCCUGACUCAGAGGGGCACUGUCAUCUUGGAAUUCAAAGAUGCAUCUUGCGGUUUCCAAGACACCUCCACUGUUUUGAACAUACAGGUGCCAACAUAUAUUCAAACAAGAAUCAUCUGAAAUAAGGAUUCGGAAGAAGCACAAUUUUGUGUAAACAUAUCUGAAAUUUAAGAACCUUUAAAUAAUGGGUCAUGUAUAUGGUCUCUGUCUACUCAUUAUAGACUUAAUGCUAAGUAAUUUAAAAAAUGUACUAACAGAUUAGAGAUUCAACUAAUAAAGGUUUAUUUCCUAACAUGUACAAAGAACCUGCAAAGA